GUUGUUGGCGCGCGGGUGGAAUCCAAAGUCUGAUCUAACGGCGCCAUACCGUGACCUUUGAUCUCGGAACAGACACAGUGACCUUAGCCUCUAUGCACUCCACCUCCGUCAGCCAGCAAGUGACGUAUGCCACACUGAGCAUGUUUAUGCGCUUUUGUCUGGUCAGGCAACCCUGGUAGCCUAUCUGGCCUUGGUCGGCCACAUUUCGGUCCCAGGAUGCUCUUUGAUAUCUACUCAGCACGCUCAACCCUUCAAGACCCUUGGCCUGGCCUUUUGACCUCAGGCGUUAGCGAGACCCGUCCUCCUCCUUUUUGCCGACAAACGUGUGAUAAAUCAAGUCUGCCCUGACACACACACACACACACACACACACACACACACACACACACACCCCAAUUAUCCCAGCGCCACAUCAUCACCCCACACCCCACACAUUAAUGAGCCCAGAGGUUAAAGGUUGUUGACAUUCCUCACACACUGCUGAACGCUAAUACUCGGCCCACACACCACACACAGCACGAACACACAGAGUGAGGUGGACGCUCUUCCGAAGUCGUUCAAAGUCAAACAAAGGCAAGCCCAAACUAAAUGUCGCUUUACUGUGUAGAAAGAAAGAACAAUCAAAUAUUUCAAUGCGCGUGGAGUAGAAAAAGUCUGCGGGCCAAGGUGCGGACAGGGCAGGCUUGGCUGACCAGAUGAAGAAUGCUCCCGCCAUGUGACGGAUAAUCAUUGUAUUCUUCUCGGCUGCAGUCUUGGCUCAGAGACAAACCGUCUGGCAAACAGACAGCUUCACAGCGCCGAGCUCAAUCAAACUGUCUGUACCCAACGAUGAACAGGGGAGAAAUGGGGCCCGAUGGCUGCACUCGCCUGUGCUACGCACCCUCUGCUGGCUCAAGAAAGUACAACACACUGUUCCACCGCUCUCCCUUGCCGACAGACGAAGUUGGCAACGCGUUCAAAGCGGAUGAGCUGUGCUGCACUCCUAAAACAAGCAAUCCAAUCCCCCAGGAGAGAUGUGUUUCUCACUAAGAACACAAAAGAGGAAUAAUGGCUGGAAAAGAUCUCA
Long non-coding RNA from Hippocampus comes (tiger tail seahorse), 1066 nucleotides. RefSeq lists it as uncharacterized. The transcript has 2 exons. NCBI's taxonomy places the organism in Eukaryota, Metazoa, Chordata, Actinopteri, Syngnathiformes, Syngnathidae. The record is from RefSeq and is a predicted model, not a curated record.